ACAACCUCAUCCUCAACCCUUUACGGCAAAGUUUAUAGCAGCUGGAAUUUUGCAGAAGUGGAGCUUUUCACUUCCUUUCACGCCUCAUUGGUGGCUUUCCAUAUUUCUGAAAAACUAACCCUAACCGCUCAUUCUUCUUUUCGAUCUGUGACUACGACUCUUUCUUCCUUGUUCUUGUCGAUCUUCCAUCUCUGCAACUGCGAUUGUUAAAACUCCCUGUUCUUCAUCCCUCUUCAAUUAGUUUCCAAUUCUGGCUCGAAUCCUUCAUUUGUUCACAGUGUUUUCCAUAUCAGAAGCAAGGCUAGAUUUAGAGAUUGAGUAGCGAGGUUGAAAUGGCGAAAGAGAGAAUCCAGAUCAGGAAGAUCGAUAACGCUACGGCGAGACAAGUCACCUUCUCCAAGCGCCGGAGGGGACUGUUUAAGAAAGCAAAAGAGCUAUCCGUUCUAUGCGAUGCCGAUGUCGCCCUCAUUGUCUUCUCCGCUACCGGAAAGCUGUUUGAAUUCUCCAGCUCAAGCAUGAAGGGAAUCAUAGAAAGACAUAAUUUGCACUCUAAGAACCUUCAGAAAUUGGAACAACCAUCCCUUGAACUACAGCUGGUUGAAAACAGCAAUUACACCCGACUAAACAAGGAAAUUGCUGAGAAAACUCAGCAGCUAAGGCAGAUGAGGGGAGAAGAGCUCCAAACAUUGAAUAUAGAGGAACUGCAGCAGCUAGAGAAGUCAUUGGAGUGUGGAUUGAGCCGUGUGAUGGAGAAAAAGGGCGAACGAAUCAUGACAGAAAUAUCUGAUCUUCAAAGAAAGUCGGCUGAGUUGAUGGAAGAGAAUAGGCGACUGAAACAAGCGCAAAAAAUGAAUUGCGUGAGGAACCUUGGCGUUGAGCCGGAGAAUUUGGUCGUGGAAGAUGGCCAGUCGUCGAACUCCGUCACUGAAGCUUGUGUCUCCAACUCCAAUGGCCCGCCUCAAGAUCUGGAUAGCUCAGACACAUCUCUGAAACUAGGGCUGCCGUAUUCCGGGUGACGGCGACGGUAAUGGCGAUGGAGCAGGAAGAUGAACAGGUACUGCAGCUAGCGAAAGGUUUGUUUUUUUAAGAAUUCAAUGCACCGUUUUAACGAAUCAAACUAGAAUUCGAGUGGGCUUGAUGAAACCUUGGCGUAUGCUAUCAGUCGUACUUUUCCUGCGUUUAGCUGGAGACAUAUUGCCCUUGUUUUGUAAAACAAGCGUUGAGUCAUAAUUUUGGUUUAAACAAA
Non-coding RNA from Cucurbita pepo subsp. pepo (vegetable marrow), 1246 nucleotides. NCBI's taxonomy places the organism in Eukaryota, Viridiplantae, Streptophyta, Magnoliopsida, Cucurbitales, Cucurbitaceae. The record is from RefSeq and is a predicted model, not a curated record.